GGGCAGUUCACAAAAUGCGCUUAACAUCUUUGGACAAUGAAGAACUUGAUGCAUUGCGUGAUCGUAACCUUCUUGCUGUUGGCUUCUGCCAUCCCAGUCUUUCGAGGAACUCCUCAAUUAACAGGCCGCAGAUAGCCUUUUGAGAUGCUGCCAGCUCACGGUCUGGAAACGAAUCCUCCAAGCGGAAACUCAACCAAACAUAGAGAUCCAAUACCUUGU
RNAcentral lists this unclassified non-coding RNA (219 nucleotides) under Hevea brasiliensis (rubber tree). The record is from RNAcentral. Lineage: Eukaryota; Viridiplantae; Streptophyta; Magnoliopsida; Malpighiales; Euphorbiaceae.